CUCCUAUUUAAACCUGCUUCAGUGCUCUUCAUUGCGUGCUGUUGUAGGCCGGUACAAUUACUUUGAACAAAUUAGAGUGCUUAAAGCAGGCUCCAAAUGCCUGAAUAUUUUGUGCAUGGAAUAAUGAAAUAAGACCUCUGUUCUACUUUCAUUGGUUUUUAGAUCAAGAGGUAAUGAUUAAUAGAAGCAGUUUGGGGGCAUUAGUAUUACGACGCGAGAGGUGAAAUUCUUGGACCGUCGUAAGACUAACUUAAGCGAAAGCAUUUGCCAAAGAUGUUUUCAUUAAUCAAGAACGAAAGUUAGAGGUUCGAAGGCGAUCGGAUACCGCCCUAGUUCUAACCAUAAACGAUGCCAGCUAGCAAUUGGGUGUAGCUACUAUUAUGGCUCUCUCAGUCGCUUCCCGGGAAACCAAAGCUUUUGGGCUCCGGGGGAAGUAUGGUUGCAAAGCUGAAACUUAAAGGAAUUGACGGAAGGGCACCACCAGGAGUGGAGCCUGCGGCUUAAUUUGACCCAACACGGGAAAACUUACCAGGUCCGAACAUAAGCGUGUAAGACAGAUUGAUAGCUCUUUCUCGAAUCUAUGGGUGGUGGUGCAUGGCCGUUCUUAGUUCGUGGAGUGAUUUGUCUGGUUAAUUCCGAUAACGAACGAGACUCAAAUAUAUUAAAUAGAUGCUUUCAGGAUUAUGGUGUUUGAAGCUUUUAUAGCCUUCAUUCAUGGAUGCAGUAACAUGUGUGAGUGUUUGAAUGUGUUUAUAAAGGUGGAGCCGUACCUGUUGGUUUGUCCCAUUAUAAGGACACUAGCUUCUUAAAUGGACAAAUUGCGUCUAGCAAUAAUGAGAUUGAGCAAUAACAGGUCUGUGAUGCCCUUAGAUGUCCUGGGCUGCACGCGCGCUACAAUGAAAGUAUCAACGUGUAUUUCCUAGACCGAGAGGUCCGGGUAAACCGCUGAACCACUUUCAUGCUUGGGAUUGUGAACUGAAACUGUUCACAUGAACUUGGAAUUCCCAGUAAGUGUGAGUCAUUAACUCGCAUUGAUUACGUCCCUGCCCUUUGUACACACCGCCCGUCGCUACUACCGAUUGAAUUAUUUAGUGAGGUCUCCGGACGUGAUCACUGUAACGCCUUGCGUGUUACGGAUGUUUCGCAAAAGUUGACCGAACUUGAUUAUUUAGAGGAAGUAAAAGUC
Molecule: ribosomal RNA, 1186 nt
Filed under: metagenome
Description: SSU rRNA
Rfam family: Eukaryotic small subunit ribosomal RNA
Source: RNAcentral